This 85-nucleotide transfer RNA is filed under the name Felis catus (domestic cat). It matches the Rfam family "tRNA". From Rfam's summary of the family: Transfer RNA (tRNA) molecules are approximately 80 nucleotides in length. Their secondary structure includes four short double-helical elements and three loops (D, anti-codon, and T loops). Further hydrogen bonds mediate the characteristic L-shaped molecular structure. tRNAs have two regions of fundamental functional importance: the anti-codon, which is responsible for specific mRNA codon recognition, and the 3' end, to which the tRNAs corresponding amino acid is attached (by aminoacyl-tRNA synthetases). tRNAs cope with the degeneracy of the genetic code in two manners: having more than one tRNA (with a specific anti-codon) for a particular amino acid; and 'wobble' base-pairing, i.e. permitting non-standard base-pairing at the 3rd anti-codon position. Lineage: Eukaryota; Metazoa; Chordata; Mammalia; Carnivora; Felidae. The record is from Rfam by way of RNAcentral.
GCCUGGGUGGCUCAGUUGGUUGGGUGUCUGACUUCCGCUCAGGUCAUGAUCUCACGGUCUGUGGGUUCGAACCCCGUGUCGGGCU